This 602-nucleotide ribosomal RNA is filed under the name filamentous cyanobacterium LEGE 00033. RNAcentral describes it as "bacterial SSU rRNA". It matches the Rfam family "Bacterial small subunit ribosomal RNA", at positions 100 to 734 of the family's 1533-position model. Lineage: Bacteria; Bacillati; Cyanobacteriota; Cyanophyceae; Oscillatoriales. The record is from RNAcentral.
GGACGGGUGAGUAACGCGUGAGAAUCUACCUUUAGGACGGGGACAACAAUUGGAAACGAUUGCUAAUACCCGAUAUGCCCUUCGGGGUGAAAUGUUUUAUCGCCUGAAGAUGAGCUCGCGUCCGAUUAGCUAGUAGGUAGUGUAAUGGACUACCUAGGCGAUGAUCGGUAGCUGGUUUGAGAGGACAAUCAGCCACACUGGGACUGAGACACGGCCCAGACUCCUACGGGAGGCAGCAGUGGGGAAUUUUCCGCAAUGGGCGCAAGCCUGACGGAGCAAUACCGCGUGGGGGAGGAAGGUCUGUGGAUUGUAAACCCCUUUUCUCAGGGAAGAAGCUCUGACGGUACCUGAGGAAUCAGCAUCGGCUAACUCCGUGCCAGCAGCCGCGGUAAUACGGAGGAUGCAAGCGUUAUCCGGAAUUAUUGGGCGUAAAGCGUCCGCAGGCGGCUAGAUAAGUCUGCUUUCAAAGAGUGGGGCUCAACCCCAUAGGGGGAGUGGAAACUGUUUAGCUAGAGUAUGGUAGGGGCAGAGGGAAUUCCCAGUGUAGCGGUGAAAUGCGUAGAUAUUGGGAAGAACACCAGUGGCGAAGGCGCUCUGCUGAC